UACGUAGGUGGCAAGCGUUGUUCGGAAUUAUUGGGCGUAAAGGGCGCGUAGGCGGUUUGUUAAGUCGGUUGUGAAAGCCCGGGGCUCAACCCCGGAGAAUCGACCGAUACGGGCAGACUAGAGUUCGGCAGGGGAGACUGGAAUUCCUGGUGUAGCGGUGAAAUGCGCAGAUAUCAGGAGGAACACCGGUGGCGAAGGCGGGUCUCUGGGCCGAUACUGACGCUGAGGAGCGAAAGCGUGGGGAGCAAACAGG
Molecule: ribosomal RNA, 253 nt
Filed under: uncultured bacterium
Lineage: Bacteria
Description: partial 16S ribosomal RNA
Rfam family: Bacterial small subunit ribosomal RNA
Source: RNAcentral